Molecule: long non-coding RNA, 1593 nt
Organism: Bos taurus (domestic cattle)
Lineage: Eukaryota; Metazoa; Chordata; Mammalia; Artiodactyla; Bovidae
Source: Ensembl
GGUUCUUUUCAUCUGUUACAAAAUUAGUAUUAAAAAAAAUUAAGUUCCACCUCAACUUGUUUCACUCUGAGGCCAAUCUGAAAUACUCAUGUAGAGACCUUAUUGAUGCUAUCAAGAAACUAAUCACUCCUUACAGUCAAGGCAAGAAGGUCAGAGUCAAGCAGACCCGACAAUCGCAACAGUAUCCUCAGUCAGCAUCUGUUCUGCAUCACACAGUAGGAUACAGACCAGGAGCCGGAGUGAGGUGGGCAAGAAGACACAGGAGGCAGGGAAAGGACUAAGGAAAGAAGAGAAUGACCUUCUGAGCCCAUGGAGGGAUGACCCUUCCCAACCUGUGGGUGAGUCCAGGUGACCAGUCCACACCAGAGCAGAUUAUCCUUUGAAGAUAGUGUUCCAGCAGUGGUAUUGCCUGUGAAGGGUAAAUUCUGUAGUUAAUUAAAGGACAACGUAACAGCCAUCUUCACUUAAAGUUAUGUCCUUUUGUUUUACCUUUAAAUAUAUGUUGCCAAAAAUUAAUAUAUUAUCAAGGAAAUUGCUUUUGAUAGCUUGUAACUCUUAGAAGGACUUCCUGAGUUACAAAAAUGAAUUUUUAAAAAAGAAUCCUAAUCCUAGGAAAGUACUUCAAAAUGUUAACUGUGUCUGUCUUUAGAUGGAACUUGAGUUUAAUUUUUUUUCCUGCUUUUCCUUUUACUGCAGUUUGCCAAAUUUUCUACAAUGUAGCAUUUCUAUAAUGCCACUUUUACAAUGUUUCCUAACACAAUGUAACAGUUUUUUAAAACAAUGUGUGCUUUUCUCUCUUACUUUAUAGAACAAGCCGCUGUAGAUUAUAAGCAUUUUUUUUACUCACCCUCCUGCUUAUUCACGUUCACAGUUGAGAAAAAUGUUUGAAUUCCAGAUCGUCAUUUUUUCCAGAAAAUAUUUUGUAAAUAACUUAAUUGGACUCAAGCAAAGGAAACUGAAGUUACUGAUAAAAACUGUAAAUUACAUUUACAGAAAAUACAAUUAUAUCUUUAGUUCCACCUGUAUGAUUUGAGUGAAUUUAAGGCUACUGUCUGUGUCAGUUCAGGCUGUUAAAACAGAAUACCGUACAAUGGGUGGCUUAUAAACAAAGACGUUUCUUUCUCACCGUUCUGGAGGCCAGAAGUCCAAGAUGAGAGAACCAGCACGGUGCGUUCUGGUGAGGGCCUUCCUCCAGGUUGCAGACUUCUCACCAUGUCAUCACGCAGAAGAGAGCAGAAGAAGCAUGCCCUGUCUUGUGAGGUUGAUAAGGGUACUAAUCCCAUUCAUGAGAGCUCCACGCUCAGGACCUUAUCUAUUCCUAAUUACCUCCAAAGGUCCCACAUCCCAUAUCAUCACAUUGAAAGGGUUAGAGUUUCAACAUAUGGAUUUGGUGGGGGACAGAAAAUAUUUCAUCCAUAACAGCUAUCAAGCCACAAAGCUCAUCUUUCCCCAAGAUACAGCUAGGUACGUGUACACACACACACACACACACACACACACACACACACACACACACACACACACUGGGUCUUUUAACACUCAGUCCAUUUGAUGCCACUUCUCCUGAUAUAGGAAUACAGAAGCAAUAACAGA